Molecule: ribosomal RNA, 449 nt
Filed under: uncultured bacterium
Lineage: Bacteria
Description: partial 16S ribosomal RNA
Rfam family: Bacterial small subunit ribosomal RNA
Source: RNAcentral
GUCGAGAAUCUUUCACAAUGGGGGCAACCCUGAUGGAGCGACGCCGCGUGGAGGAUAAGGUCUUCGGAUUGUAAACUCCUGUCAUCGGGGAGUAAGACCUGGCGGUAAAUAGCCGACAGGGUUGAUAGUACCCGAAGAGGAAGGGACGGCUAACUUCGUGCCAGCAGCCGCGGUAAUACGAAGGUCCCAAGCGUUGUUCGGAAUCACUGGGCGUAAAGGGAGCGUAGGCGGCGUGGUAAGCCAGAUGUGAAAUCCCGGGGCUCAACCCCGGAACUGCAGCCGAUACUGCCAUGCUUGAGGGUUGGAGAGGUAGCUGGAAUUCUCGGUGUAGCAGUGAAAUGCGUGGAUGUCGAGAGGAACACUCGUGGCGAAGGCGAGUUACUGGACAGCAUCUGACGCUGAGGCACGAAGGCCAGGGGAGCGAAAGGGAUUAGAAACCCCUGUAGUCC